Molecule: long non-coding RNA, 1431 nt
Organism: Aethalodelphis obliquidens (Pacific white-sided dolphin)
Lineage: Eukaryota; Metazoa; Chordata; Mammalia; Artiodactyla; Delphinidae
Exons: 4
Source: RefSeq, a predicted model, not a curated record
GGACACAUGGAAAGCUUAUGAGGAAGGCUCUGUGCCCCUCAGGAAUGCAGCAACUCCCUUUGCCUUCUCUAGCUGCUCAGGGCCCCAGACUAUCAGCAAGAGGCUCCUGACGCCCGGGCCUUCCAUCAGGGUGAUGGAGGACAGGCUGCUGUGGUGGAUGGUUGUUUCCGGGCUGUGCCCAGUAAGACUAAGCAAGCGUGAGGGUAUCCAGGUGAUUUCUCCAGAGGAUGUGUCAGGCAGCAUAGAUUCCAGGUAGUUCAGGGUACCAUUCUGGGAGAUGUCUACCAUAGACCACAUCUGGAGUUGAACAGCUCAGGAAGUUGGCUUGCUCUAAGUGCAGCAGUUUACUUGGCAAGUGAUAAUGGGUCCCUGGGUCAGAAAUGAGGGGCCUCAAAAAGGAUGGAAGUAGAAUAGUAAUCCUGGGUUACUGAUGCAGUAAACGGCCACCUGCUUGCCCAAAUAGGAUGAUGACCCUUUUGUUGGCUAGGUCAGCCUCUCUCUCAGGACUUCAAGGAACGUUUGCUUGCCCUUCAUUCUAAUAGAACAAUGCUUUUCCAUUCUGGCUGCAGAUCGGAAAUCACCUUUGGAGCUUUAAGGACUUCAGAUGCCCAGGCUCCAGCUCCAAAGAUUUGAUUCUAUGUAUGAAGGCCCCCCGUCUGCCGUGGUCUCUAGAGGAAGAAAUGGGUUAGCCAGGUCACAGAUGCCUCAGGAGUGUUAAAUGAGGACUCUUGUGGAAGAAGAGGCCCUGCACCCCUCUCUCCUCUCUCCAUAUGCAGGACCAUGGAUACAGAGGGCCAACUAUGGUACUUGAGCGUCCAUGGAGUUUUGGUAUCUGAGGCAGGUCCUGGAACCAAUCCCCAGUGGAUAUCAAGAUGAAGAGGUCUGAGACAGGAAGAGGAAGUACUACAGUGGGAGCUACACUGAAAGGCCUUCUCUGCCCACCUGGCCAUCUUAGUUUCAGGGGGAAGGAGGUAAGAGGUUAUACACUCUGUAUGGAGGAUAACUGGGUGCUCCUCAAACUAUUAAUAGACACUAUUAAUACAUUAUUAAUACACUAUUAAUAGAGACAGAGUCUAUCAAAAAAAAUUCUCUGAAGUCAGACAAAUAUCUAAAUCUCAAUUUCUCUAUCAAUCUCUCUAGAACUAAUUCUCCUAUUUGGCUUUUGUUCUUUGAAUUCCUUUAGCCAGGAAUCCUGUAGGGGGAAGGUGGGGAAUAUAGUUUAGGCCAUAAGAUGUCACAGUUCCCUCCAGCUUUACCGUCAACCCCCGAAAGUUUGAACUGUCACAAAAACCCUGGGAAGGAGGAAUUAUUAAACUCAAUGAGAAAACAGGCCCAGAGAGUUUAAGUAAUUGGCAAUGGUUACAUAGGUAGUAAGUAAUAGAAUCAGGAUGUGACUACGGAAGAGGCAGUAUCCAGAGACCUUACUCUUUC